CCAACAGGGAUUCCCCUAGUAACGGCGAGUGAAGCGGGAAGAGCUCAAAUUUGAAAUCUGGCGGUCUACGGCCGUCCGAGUUGUAGUCUGGAGAAGCGUUUUCUACGUCGGACCGUGUACAAGUCCCUUGGAACAGGGCGUCGCAGAGGGUGAGAAUCCCGUCUUUGACACGGACUGCCGACGUUUUGCGAUGCGCUCUCGAAGAGUCGAGUUGUUUGGGAAUGCAGCUCAAAACGGGUGGUAAAUUCCAUCUAAAGCUAAAUAUUGGCGAAAGACCGAUAGCGAACAAGUACCGUGAGGGAAAGAUGAAAAGCACUUUGGAAAGAGAGUUAAACAGUACGUGAAAUUGUUGAAAGGGAAACGCUUGAAGUCAGUCACGUCUUCCGGGACUCAGCCCUUGCUUUUUUUUUUCUGCUUGGCGUAUUUCCCGGGGCGACGGGCCAGCGUCGAUUUCGAUCGUCGGAGAAAGGCUUUGGGAACGUGGCACCUUCGGGUGUGUUAUAGCCCUCGGUCGCAUGCGACGGUCGGGAUCGAGGAUCGCAGCACGCCAUUCUUUUUGGCCGGGGUUCGCCCACGUAACGUGCUUAGGAUGCUGGCGUAAUGGCUUUAAGCGACCCGUCUUG
Molecule: ribosomal RNA, 623 nt
Filed under: Ramaria amyloidea
Lineage: Eukaryota; Fungi; Basidiomycota; Agaricomycetes; Gomphales; Gomphaceae
Description: eukaryotic LSU rRNA
Rfam family: Eukaryotic large subunit ribosomal RNA
Source: RNAcentral